RNAcentral lists this ribosomal RNA (753 nucleotides) under Isoptericola sp. DBQ_11Q. RNAcentral's name for it is "bacterial SSU rRNA". It matches the Rfam family "Bacterial small subunit ribosomal RNA", at positions 679 to 1431 of the family's 1533-position model. Lineage: Bacteria; Bacillati; Actinomycetota; Actinomycetes; Micrococcales; Promicromonosporaceae. The record is from RNAcentral.
CGGUGGAAUGCGCAGAUAUCAGGAGGAACACCGAUGGCGAAGGCAGGUCUCUGGGCCGCAACUGACGCUGAGGAGCGAAAGCAUGGGGAGCGAACAGGAUUAGAUACCCUGGUAGUCCAUGCCGUAAACGUUGGGCACUAGGUGUGGGACUCAUUCCACGAGUUCCGUGCCGCAGCUAACGCAUUAAGUGCCCCGCCUGGGGAGUACGGCCGCAAGGCUAAAACUCAAAGGAAUUGACGGGGGCCCGCACAAGCGGCGGAGCAUGCGGAUUAAUUCGAUGCAACGCGAAGAACCUUACCAAGGCUUGACAUGCACCGGACGCUGCCAGAGAUGGUGGUUCCGCAAGGUCGGUGCACAGGUGGUGCAUGGUUGUCGUCAGCUCGUGUCGUGAGAUGUUGGGUUAAGUCCCGCAACGAGCGCAACCCUUGUCCUAUGUUGCCAGCGGGUUAUGCCGGGGACUCAUGGGAGACUGCCGGGGUCAACUCGGAGGAAGGCGGGGAUGACGUCAAAUCAUCAUGCCCCUUAUGUCUUGGGCUUCACGCAUGCUACAAUGGCCGGUACAGAGGGCUGCGAUACCGUAAGGUGGAGCGAAUCCCAAAAAGCCGGUCUCAGUUCGGAUUGGGGUCUGCAACUCGACCCCAUGAAGUCGGAGUCGCUAGUAAUCGCAGAUCAGCAACGCUGCGGUGAAUACGUUCCCGGGCCUUGUACACACCGCCCGUCAAGUCACGAAAGUUGGUAACACCCGAAGCUCAC